Molecule: ribosomal RNA, 286 nt
Filed under: uncultured fungus
Lineage: Eukaryota; Fungi
Description: partial 28S ribosomal RNA
Rfam family: Eukaryotic large subunit ribosomal RNA
Source: RNAcentral
GUGAAAUUGUUGAAAGGGAAGCACUUGAAGUCAGCCAUGCUGCUUGAGACUCAGCCUGGCUUUUGCUUGGUGUAUUUCUCGGUAGCAAGCCAGCAUUGGUUUGUGUCGUCGGAGAAGCGUAUGGGGAAUGUGGCAUCCUCGGAUGUGUUAUAGCCCUGUGCAGGAUACGACGACGUAGACCAAGGAACGCAGUGUGCCCUCUGGGCGGGUCUUCGGACACCUUCACACUGAGGAUGCUGGCGUAAUGGCUUUAAGUGGCCCGUCUUGAAACACGGACCAAGGAGUC